UCUGUCGUCACCGUGACCUCGCUUCGCUUUCGCAGGACUUGAUUAACUUUGUCCGUCCGCGGCUCCAGUAGCAGCUCUUCCGGACAGUGUGCGCUAGCGGUCUGUGUGAAGGUCGUGAGUCCAACCUGUGAUCCACCAUGUCUCUGCCAAAGCCUGUGAUGAGGGGGAUGCUGGCGAAGCGUCUGAGGUUUCACCUGCCCAUCGCUUUCGCCCUGGCUUUUGGCGCUGCCGUAAUGUUCAAGUACACCGUGACAGAGCCCAGGAAACGGGCCUACGCUGAGUUCUACAAGCAGUACGACUCUGUCAAGGAGUUCAACGCCAUGAGGGAAGCCGGCAUCUUCGAGAGCGUGCGGCCCUCUGGGGAGUAAACCCACCGUGAGUCUGUCUUUUCUGGGUGGGGUCGGAUCAGUGGAUCACAGUAACAUCUGUGAAGUGAAGUUCAAGCUCUCCCCCCCCCCGUCAUUCAUUCCUGGUCUGAGGAUGAAGUUCCUUCUUGCCCCGUUGGAUGUUAUUUACUGAUUUAGAUGUGAACUUCGCUAUGCUGUUUUGUUCCUCUAAAUAAAAUACGCUAUUAAUUUAA
This is an RNA transcript of Xiphias gladius (swordfish), 580 nucleotides long. It is a transcript of the gene named cytochrome c oxidase subunit 6C-1, with no coding region annotated. Lineage: Eukaryota; Metazoa; Chordata; Actinopteri; Istiophoriformes; Xiphiidae. The transcript has 4 exons. The record is from RefSeq and is a predicted model, not a curated record.